CCUGUUAAAUAUUGGAGCAUGGUUAUUGUGAAUAUUCUUGUUUCUCUAUUAAUAGUACAGAUAAGCAUAUGAAUACUUUCAGGGGAAGUGAACAAGUUGAAGCCAGGAUAAAUAUGAGUUGGCUUUCACGCUAUGACCCUGAACGGAAUGGUAAAAACGCUGUCAUCGUAGCGGUGUCAUCACCCGCUCCCCACUAAACCGGCCCAGGUAAACUAGUUAGUCCAUUGCGGAAUAUUGUCAUUUGAUCCUUGGGCUCUGACAUCCAGGGCACUGGAUGGGAGAACGAAGGCUCCACAAUAAGAGGUGCAUUAUCCGCAUAGAAAAUGCCUGUUUCAUAUGGUUGGCUGCAUCUCUUUGGCACUUUUUGUUGGAACAAUGAGUUAUAUGGA
This 389-nucleotide small RNA is filed under the name Histoplasma ohiense. RNAcentral's name for it is "hypothetical lncRNA". Lineage: Eukaryota; Fungi; Ascomycota; Eurotiomycetes; Onygenales; Ajellomycetaceae. The record is from RNAcentral.